Molecule: long non-coding RNA, 2120 nt
Filed under: Gadus morhua (Atlantic cod)
Lineage: Eukaryota; Metazoa; Chordata; Actinopteri; Gadiformes; Gadidae
Description: lncRNA (ENSGMOG00000027222.1)
Source: RNAcentral
AUGACUUAUUCCGAACUGACCCAUGCGUUCUCUUUAGACCCGGGGACGGACCUGGAAGAUGUGCUUCGUGAGUUUGACGACGUGGUGGAGGAACUCAAAGCGCCUUGCAGAAGCAGCUCUGGUGCGACCCAACAUCUCCUUGAAGAGGGGAUACGCGGCGCGUCGAGCGACUAUUACAGCAUUAGUGGCGAUAGUGGCGUCGAGGACUCGGAUUACUGCAGCGAAGCUUCUCUGGGUAACAGUUUGAACACCAGCCAAGAGGAGCUCCGCCCAGCGGGCAUCUCGCUGACAGCUAAAGCGCGGCUGGGAGACACGGUGGAUCUUCAGAGCUUCAUCGACAGCUUGGACCGGGAGCUCUCUGAGAUGUGAACGGAGAGGGGAACACAGCAGAGAGAGAGCGGGAGAGAGAGAGAGAGUGAGAGACUCCGCAGACCCCAGCAGGGUCAGAUCCAGGGAAGAGGACGGGAUCCAGGGGAGAGGGGGGAAGGAGUGAGGAGAGGGUCCAUCUGCCACAGAGCAUGAGAGGGCUGCAUCUAGAGAGUUGGGGGGCCUUGUUUGUGCCACGUUUUCAAAUUCCCUCGAAUGCCACGCCAGUAAUCCGCUUGCAAUCCUUCUGGCAAUUUCUUUUUUUUUUAUAAAAUGAUGAAUUCCUUUCUGUCUUGAUGCAUUUCCACCAGCUGGGCUUUAAGACCGUCUUGCAUUUUUAAGAAGGAGCCGAUGUUUAUGUUCGGAUGGCAAUGAAUUUAGUCUGAAUUUUUUGUUCAUAUUGUUUCAUAUUGUAUAGUUUGUGCAAUUGUCAAACUUUGACGCUCUCGUCACCAUCAUAUUCGACAGAAAAGUGGACAAAUUAAAACAACUUUUAAUGAUAUUGCUAUUGUAUUAUUUCCUCCUGUGUCAUAUUACAUGUAGUUUUUAAUACUUCUUACAGCGACAGCAGUGACAGUAAUAUAUUAAAAGAUAAUCCCAAAAUAAUAAGCAUAUUUAACGUCACAUCCAUCUGUACACAGUGAAGAAAAGAAAAAAGGUUAAUACUUUAAACUUGCUUGUGCUACCUGAUCACAGCUCGCAUUAAUUGAACCCCGGCCAAAGAAUACAUGAAGAAUGCGUCAUUAGUGCACACAGUCACACAAUGGUUUACAAACUCGUUUCUUUUCUUCCUUUGCAUGUAAUCUCUUUGCCAUGAAGAACCUGGACAUUUCUGUACCAUUAAUGCUGGUUUCAAUUGAACAAAAAUAAACGUCCCCGGAAUUCAACCUUGUUGGAGCAUUUUGCAUAAAUGAGGAUGGAAGCGACGCCAUGUCAUUUGAUAUUCAUCCGUCUUUGUAUUCAUUGGGUUCACCUGCUUCUUCCACAGCCACCGUCGCUGCUGCGUCUAUCGCUGCUGUCAUUUUAUUAUACGGGUGCAACAGAUGCUGGCAGUUUAUACCAGUCUGUAUACGUCUAUCUCAGCAGCAGCCAGGGUAGUCAAAGCUCAAAGCAACACGUUGUUGGGUGGAGAGAUGACACAGGCAAUGCUGGCUGCUCUCGUGCCACAUUUGGCAGCUCUGUUUUCUCACUGAGCUUUCCAUUUCUAACUGGGAGCAUCAUCUGGCCACCACCACCACCACCACCACCUCCAUUCUGCUGAACAAUUGAACGCGCACCCGACAAGCUGAGGUCGAGGGGGAGUUGGAUGGUGGCGCUUGUCAUUCUUGCCAUAACAAAAGGAUUAUUCAGUUUUCCCUAUGACUUUCCAUUUGCCCAUUGUCUUGAUGGCUUAUUCCAACGAAGCUUGAUUUAUAAAGCUUUUAAUUUUUUUUGCGCUGUUCGAACCCCAAAAAAUAAAAACAAGAAAAAGCGUCUGUUUUUUAAAGCAGUUUGUUUAUCCCCAUACUUGCUUGGUAUUGCGUAUCAUAUUACAUCGCCCAUAGCGCGCACGUCAACAAAGGGAGGAGGACAGGCUGUACGUUCAGCAUACUGUUGACUGCCUCUUUAUGUCUCAUUAUUGGACACUCUGCCCAGGGAGUCCACUUCUUCCUCUGCACUCUGACCCAGUCACUUAACCCCAAACUGCGGGCCAACAGGGGGCUUGGCAGAGGGAUGGUGGGGGGGGGGGGGGGCGAUGGGAGAGCACAAGGUUA